RNAcentral lists this ribosomal RNA (482 nucleotides) under Salmonella enterica subsp. enterica serovar Typhimurium. RNAcentral's name for it is "bacterial LSU rRNA". It matches the Rfam family "Bacterial large subunit ribosomal RNA", at positions 114 to 634 of the family's 2925-position model. Lineage: Bacteria; Pseudomonadati; Pseudomonadota; Gammaproteobacteria; Enterobacterales; Enterobacteriaceae. The record is from RNAcentral.
CCGAAUGGGGAAACCCAGUGUGAUUCGUCACACUAUCAUUAACUGAAUCCAUAGGUUAAUGAGGCGAACCGGGGGAACUGAAACAUCUAAGUACCCCGAGGAAAAGAAAUCAACCGAGAUUCCCCCAGUAGCGGCGAGCGAACGGGGAGGAGCCCAGAGCCUGAAUCAGCAUGUGUGUUAGUGGAAGCGUCUGGAAAGGCGCGCGAUACAGGGUGACAGCCCCGUACACAAAAGCGCAUGUGCUGUGAGCUCGAUGAGUAGGGCGGGACACGUGGUAUCCUGUCUGAAUAUGGGGGGACCAUCCUCCAAGGCUAAAUACUCCUGACUGACCGAUAGUGAACCAGUACCGUGAGGGAAAGGCGAAAAGAACCCCGGCGAGGGGAGUGAAAAAGAACCUGAAACCGUGUACGUACAAGCAGUGGGAGCACAGGUUUACCUGUGUGACUGCGUACCUUUUGUAUAAUGGGUCAGCGACUUAUAUU